RNAcentral lists this ribosomal RNA (732 nucleotides) under Triticum aestivum (bread wheat). RNAcentral describes it as "partial small subunit ribosomal RNA". The record is from RNAcentral. Lineage: Eukaryota; Viridiplantae; Streptophyta; Magnoliopsida; Poales; Poaceae.
AUGGGUCGCGGGAUCCGGAUAGGAACGGGCAACCUGGCGGAGGCCGGCCGGAUCUGGAGCGAGCUGUGGCAGCUUGAGGCACGGACGCGGGCAGAACUCAACGAGACCAUGGCGCUACAGGAGGGCUUGGCAGCAGGAUCUUUAGGCUUCGGCAGUGAGGUUCGAAGGGGAAGCAGGGGAAUUUGGCGCGGCGGAACUCUCCAGCGAAGCAGCAGCGGUAGCAGGGCCAGGCGGAAGCGGGACUUGGUGAAGGCGGAGCCUCUCCGGCAAGGCGUGGACGGGACGACAAGAGUUCGAGGCCAUGGCGACUCGACGGCGGUGCUGCAGCUUCGAGGCGUCGGAGCUCCUUGUACGAGCAGACAGAGGGAGAGAGAUGUGAGGGAGGGGAGAAGAAUGGAAGGAGGGAGAAGAGAUGGGCGCGAGGCACUCAUCUCUGGCACGGCGGCGCUCCAAACGGCGGCGGUGGCGCUCGUUCUGGUUGGAAGAGGAGCUCGGUUCGGCUGGGGUCUCGGGCAUGAGGACGAGGCAGGUGGGGCUCGGGAAGAGGCUCUCGACGAGGGGAGGCGCAGGAGAUCAGGCGCCGUGGUGAUCCGCUCCCCGGCGAGCUCAGGCAAGGUAGAGGGGAUCACAGUCACGUGGGGGCUGCUACUGUUCGAAGGAGACGAAGGCACGGCGAUGGAUCAAAAGAAGAGGCAACAGAGAGAGGUGAGCGGGGAAAAGAGGAGGAUCUAG